Molecule: non-coding RNA, 1229 nt
Organism: Chlorocebus sabaeus (green monkey)
Lineage: Eukaryota; Metazoa; Chordata; Mammalia; Primates; Cercopithecidae
Source: RefSeq, a predicted model, not a curated record
ACUCCAGCCUGGUGACAGAACAAGACUCCAUCUCAAAAAAAAAAAAAAAGAAAAGAAAAGAAAAGAAAAAGAAGAAAGAAAAGAAAAGGCAUAUCUGCCAGCCAAGAAUCAGUUUUCAGCUUAAAACACAAUAAUACAGACCAAAUUUAGCUCCUGUUCCCUGAACCAGUGGCAAAAGCAGCUAGUGCAUGUGCCCAGAAAACCACAUGCAGCAUGUUUACUUCACUAUCCCACUCUGUGCUGAUUUACUGGUUCUACACGUUAGGAUUACAGAUCCUUAUAGGAAUAGCUUCUUCACUUUAAUGAUUUCUUAAGAAAAAAAUAAAACAAGAUCUAGAUCGUAGACUCCCAUCAAAGAGCUUACUGGGAGAAACAGCUGUAUUAUGAAUUAUGAACAUUAUAGGGGCAUCCAACAAGGGGAAAAAUUAAACUAUUAUCUCGUUACUUUGAUAAAUUAAAAUUGCCAGGCCUAGGCAAAGAUCUGACUGGACAGAGUGAAUUUUGGAGUGAAAUUUUAUGGUUAUGUCUUUUAAAAGCCAUGUAAAUCAGCAAGCGUAAAGCUGACAGGACCUUGCAGGCUUCAGCAAGAACACACUGUCCCUCUCAUUUAUUUAAAAGAAUGCUGCCCUGCUCAAAGGCCUGCAGUGAGCCAUGCCAAUGUGGUUUGGCUGGACUGUGAGUGUUUGAUGCAGUCUGAUGUGAGGGUGGGGGUGGCGCGGAGAACGUUGAAAUCAAAAAGGAUUCUGCUCUGUAGAGACAAAGGAGCCACCGAGACGUAGACGUGGAUCUGGGAAAUACACCUUUUGCUACUCGUUCAGUUUUAGAAAGGGGGUUUCUGGCAUGGCUGAGCAAAACUUAAACUUCUUCCCCUGAGAAUUACAGGAAUUACAGGACCUGACAAAGCUCUAAAGAUUAAAACCUAUAGGAAGAAAAUCUGAACCAGAAAUAAUACGGCAGACUUGGGAUCUGACUUAUAGAGGGAAGAACUUAUCAUUCUUCACGGGGCACAUAGAAGCAUGAGAAUUUGGGUUCAAGCAAGUAAAUUCUAAAUUAGAACCCAUACAUAAAGUGUUUGCAAUGUCCAGUUAUAUCUCUAUGAUAUUUUUCUUUGUGAAAAUUGAUUGUUCUUCUUUACAAUAAAUUGCUUGAAUUAUCUGUCUCUUCAUUUAGCUAUUUCUUUUUCUUGUCUUUGGUAUCUUUUUUUUUUUUGGUAAGUAAAAAAUUUUCAG